UCCGCUGCGCCACAGGAGUUGGCGAGAGAGAGAGGGAAGCAAGGGCUUGGAGUGUACAAGGCAUCCGCCUGGACUUCAACUUGCAUCUCUUUUACUCUACACUGAUGGAUGGAUAGAUGAGGGGAAGCUGACUGGGAAGAGGGAGGAGAGGAGGAUGGCUGGCAGUGCUCUGGCUCAGAUGGCGCUGGUCGUGGAGAUUUUCUGCCAGGAAGUGAUGAAAAGGAGAAGGUUGAACAAUCCCCUUGCUCUGGCUACCUCGAGGAUUCAGAAGCACCAGGAAAAAGUGGAAGCCGGAGCAGUCUCUGGAGUGGAUUAGGCAAGCAGGUGCAGAUCUGGGCUGGCGACCGAAGACUAACGUUCAGCGAGAAGACCGAGCGGCGCACGCUGGUAUCGGAGCUAUGUUGCCCGGGAAGCCUGCGAGCCAGGCAGGCAUGAGAACUGACUAUCCUGGGGAAGUACAGUAGUUUCAGCUCGCUAGAAACCCGGCAGCGGGUCUUGACGGCACACUUGGAGGGAUACAUCGUUCUGCCAAUCAACCCACGAUAAAGACAACACCCAAACUGAAGCUGAAAACACUCCUUUGGAUUUCGAGGAAGCCACCAUGCAAAAGGUUGUUCCCUGUAAUCCUAGUCUGAGAGGGGGAGAUUAAACGCCCAUAAUGUUGAAGAUUCACGUCAAGGUAUGCCAACAUCUGCAGCAUCUCAGCAGAGAAAGGUGCCAUGAAUAGUGAAGCCAGUGAAGCCCUCUUAAGAUUUGCUUGGCAGUCCAAAGAUACAGAUGGGAACUGAAGUUUCUCCCCAGCACGACUGUGAUAAUUGGAUUUUGCGGACACCUGUAUGAGUGCAGUAUAUCCAGGGGAUUAUAAGCAGGGAUGGGGGGAGCGUGGCUGUUUGCUGUCCUCGGUGUCACUUCCUUCAAGCAUACAGAUAACUGGCCUGGCCUGCAGAGAUAGCAGCCCUCUAUCACAUCAAGAGCUGCUCAAAUCCCCAGACAGAGUGUUUGUCUUAGGGGACGGGGUCACACACACACACACACACACACAGACACACACACACACACACACCUGUGACUGGGACAUGGAAGCCUCCCUCUGCUCAAGGUGUCUGAAUGAGGGCUUGUGUGUGUCAGAGAAAUGGGGAACCAGUGAGUGUGCUUACAUGUGUAUGAGUGCAUGAAUGUGUGUGUGUGUGUGUGUGUGUGCGCCUGGACCCAUGUAAUAUGUGUGUCUCUUGGCCCGCAGUCAUGGUAGGCAGUGUGGUGAAUCAAGGUGUCAUCUUCUAGUGGUCAGGAAAGCCAGCUGUGUGUGUGCGUGCACGCGCAUCCCUUUUGUGUUGGCACAUGUGUUCCAUGCUGUUGUCCGUGUGUGAACCAUUCUCUGCUAGCAGAGGAAGACAGCUGUGUGUGUCCAUAUAUAAUGUACAUGGUUGUGUGUGUGUGUGUGUGUGAGAGAGAGAGAGAGAGAGAGAGAGAGAGAGAGAAAGAUGCAUGUUAGUAUUAAGUGUUGUAAAAUGACAUAUGAUCUGUUGCUGGCAUGUGCACAGCAGGGUCUGAACUGUUGAAUGUUGUGUGUGGAGGUGUCAUCUGCUGGUAGCUGAGAGAGACAGCAGUGAGUGUGUGUGCGUCUGUGCGUGUGUGUGUGUCGAUGUGAGAGGCAGCUCCACUGACAGUACCAUGUCAACAGAGCGCUUGCUGCUGCCGCUCCGAUCCAGGUGCAGACCAAAUGAGUCAUCAGAACCUCCUGGCCAAAGCAAACAGGAUUUAUCAUGGCUAUUUGCCAUACAAUCAUAUGUCUGGUGUUAAAUAUAAAUUAAGAUAUGUAUGUACUGUAUGCAUCUCUGUGUGUAUGUGAAAAUAAACAGUUACUUUGCCCAAAAUAAAACAAGAAUAAGGCAUGGUGCCUCACCCAUUUAACAAGUACAAGAACAGCUCUAGAUGACACCGUUUUGGGGAAUAAAGGUUAUGUUUAGGGUUGCAAUCAAUAGCAGUAAUUUGUCAUGACACUGACUGAUUCAUGUUGACAUUGUAAUGAAUUCCAGCGAUGAAGGUUUUUUUCAGACACAGCACAUUAAAGUAAAGCAGCCACUCCUAUAACAUCUCCUCCAUAGUCAUCCAUGUAUGUCCUGGACCAAAGACAGAUACCUACUACCUUAUCGUGCCAAUAUACUGUACAUGUUGUCUCCUGAAAUCAUAAUGUUGAAAUCUCACAGCUUUGGGUGUGUUACCAAAUAUAUCUCUGAUAGAAGCUGUCUUGAAUAGUAAUCUAUUUUCACAUUGAACCUUAUUGUGAAUUAACUUCCAGGGCCCUAAUUCAAACACUGGGCAAAGUGAAACGUUAGUCUAUGAGCAAAAUUCUCUCUAACAGCAUCCUGUGGCGUGUGGCUGCUUUUAACUGACUCACCACUGCUUGUGCUUAGGAUCUUUCUUGUGAUAUCAUAUUUGCAAAUAGAUUUUGCAUAGUUAGUACGCAAACUUUAGUUAGACUUUAGACUUUGCACUUUCCCAUCAUUUAAAUUAGGCCCCCAGUGUUUUUCACUCUG
Long non-coding RNA from Alosa sapidissima (American shad), 2537 nucleotides. RefSeq lists it as uncharacterized. NCBI's taxonomy places the organism in Eukaryota, Metazoa, Chordata, Actinopteri, Clupeiformes, Clupeidae. The record is from RefSeq and is a predicted model, not a curated record. The transcript has 7 exons.